ACUCCUACGGGAGGCAGCAGUGGGGAAUAUUGCACAAUGGGGGAAACCCUGAUGCAGCCAUGCCGCGUGUGUGAAGAAGGCCUUCGGGUUGUAAAGCACUUUCAGUAGGGAGGAAGGUAGUGUAGUUAACACCUGCAUUAUUUGACGUUACCUACAGAAGAAGCACCGGCUAACUCCGUGCCAGCAGCCGCGGUAAUACGGAGGGUGCGAGCGUUAAUCGGAAUUACUGGGCGUAAAGCGCAUGCAGGCGGCCUGUUAAGUCAGAUGUGAAAGCCCGGGGCUUAACCUCGGAAUUGCAUUUGAAACUGGCAGGCUAGAGUCUUGUAGAGGGGGGUAGAAUUUCAGGUGUAGCGGUGAAAUGCGUAGAGAUCUGAAGGAAUACCAGUGGCGAAGGCGGCCCCCUGGACAAAGACUGACGCUCAGAUGCGAAAGCGUGGGGAGCAAACAGGUUUAGAUACCCUGGUAGCACAGAG
RNAcentral lists this ribosomal RNA (473 nucleotides) under uncultured bacterium. RNAcentral's name for it is "bacterial SSU rRNA". It matches the Rfam family "Bacterial small subunit ribosomal RNA", at positions 335 to 799 of the family's 1533-position model. The record is from RNAcentral.